RNAcentral lists this ribosomal RNA (252 nucleotides) under uncultured bacterium. Its description in RNAcentral is "partial 16S ribosomal RNA". It matches the Rfam family "Bacterial small subunit ribosomal RNA", at positions 81 to 334 of the family's 1533-position model. The record is from RNAcentral.
UACUCCGCCGGCGACCGGCGCACGGGUGCGUAACGCGUAUGCAACCCACCUUUAACAGGGGCAUAACACUGAGAAAUUGGUACUAAUUCCCCAUAACAUUCGAGAAGGCAUCUUCUUGGGUUAAAAACUCCGGUGGUUAAAGAUGGGCAUGCGUUGUAUUAGCUAGUUGGUGAGGUAACGGCUCACCAAGGCAACGAUACAUAGGGGGACUGAGAGGUUAACCCCCCACAUUGGUACUGAGACACGGACCAA